This 260-nucleotide ribosomal RNA is filed under the name uncultured prokaryote. RNAcentral describes it as "partial 16S ribosomal RNA". It matches the Rfam family "Bacterial small subunit ribosomal RNA", at positions 917 to 1178 of the family's 1533-position model. The record is from RNAcentral.
GGGCCCGCACAAGCGGUGGAGCAUGUGGUUUAAUUCGAAGCAACGCGAAGAACCUUACCAGGUCUUGACAUCCUUUGACCACUCUAGAGAUAGAGCUUCCCCUUCGGGGGCAAAGUGACAGGUGGUGCAUGGUUGUCGUCAGCUCGUGUCGUGAGAUGUUGGGUUAAGUCCCGCAACGAGCGCAACCCUUAUUGUUAGUUGCCAUCAUUCAGUUGGGCACUCUAGCAAGACUGCCGGUAAUAAACCGGAGGAAGGUGGGG